RNAcentral lists this ribosomal RNA (467 nucleotides) under uncultured bacterium. RNAcentral describes it as "partial 16S ribosomal RNA". It matches the Rfam family "Bacterial small subunit ribosomal RNA", at positions 355 to 813 of the family's 1533-position model. The record is from RNAcentral.
UGGGGAAUAUUGCACAAUGGGCGCAAGCCUGAUGCAGCCAUGCCGCGUGUGUGAAGAAGGCCUUCGGGUUGUAAAGCACUUUCAGCGAGGAGGAAGGUGGUGAACUUAAUACGUUCAUCAAUUGACGUUACUCGCAGAAGAAGCACCGGCUAACUCCGUGCCAGCAGCCGCGGUAAUACGGAGGGUGCAAGCGUUAAUCGGAAUUACUGGGCGUAAAGCGCACGCAGGCGGUUUGUUAAGUCAGAUGUGAAAAUCCCCGGGCUCAACCUGGGAACUGCAUUUGAAACUGGCAAGCUAGAGUCUCGUAGAGGGGGGUAGAAUUCCAGGUGUAGCGGUGAAAUGCGUAGAGAUCUGGAGGAAUACCGGUGGCGAAGGCGGCCCCCCUGGANGAAGACUGACGCUCAGGUGCGAAAAGCGUGGGGAGCAAACAGAUUAGNUACCCUGGUAGUCACGCUGUAAACGAUGUC